UGCGGCGCACGGGUGAGUAACACGUGACUGACCUACCUCGAGUGGGGAAUAACUUCGGGAAACCUGGGCUAAUACCGCAUAACCCACGGCAAAGGAGCGCUUGAGGAGGGGGUCGCGGCCGAUUAGUUAGUUGGCGGGGUAAUGGCCCACCAAGACGAUGAUCGGUAUCCGGCCUGAGAGGGCGCACGGACACACUGGAACUGAGACACGGUCCAGACUCCUACGGGAGGCAGCAGUGGGGAAUUUUGCGCAAUGGGGGAAACCCUGACGCAGCAACGCCGCGUGGAGGAUGAAGUCCUUCGGGACGUAAACUCCUUUCGAUCGGGACGAUUGACGGUACCGGAAGAAGAAGCCCCGGCUAACUUCGUGCCAGCAGCCGCGGUAAUACGAGGGGGGCGAGCGUUGUUCGGAAUUAUUGGGCGUAAAGGGUGCGUAAGCGGUUUGGUAAGUCUGAUGUGAAAUCUAUGGGCUCAACUCAUAGUCUGCAUCGGAAAC
RNAcentral lists this ribosomal RNA (495 nucleotides) under uncultured soil bacterium. RNAcentral describes it as "bacterial SSU rRNA". It matches the Rfam family "Bacterial small subunit ribosomal RNA", at positions 94 to 633 of the family's 1533-position model. The record is from RNAcentral.